CCCUGACAGCCGCAUCCUGUGGCUGACACUAGCCACGACAGGAGUGACUUAAAUG
This 55-nucleotide non-coding RNA is filed under the name unclassified sequences. The record is from Rfam.